RNAcentral lists this ribosomal RNA (1539 nucleotides) under Triticum aestivum (bread wheat). RNAcentral's name for it is "partial small subunit ribosomal RNA". Lineage: Eukaryota; Viridiplantae; Streptophyta; Magnoliopsida; Poales; Poaceae. The record is from RNAcentral.
GAGAGGAGGGGUGGUUGGACGUGGACGAUCACUUCAAUGAUGCGCCAGUUGGGUCACCAAAGGGGUAGGGCGAGCCGGCCGAGAGGAGAGGUGGCCGCGGUAGCGAAGCGGCGGCGGGGUAGGACGACCUGGCGCAGUGGAGAGCGGCAGGCAGCGUUCUCCGCGUCACUACGAUCCCGGAGGGCUGCCCAGCGAAAACUGGCUCCAGCGGUACCUUCCACUCUUCGUCGGCGUUGGCCGCCACCGUCUGAGGAGGCGGUGGCAUAGGUUCCACGAGCUGCUACUGUUGGAGGAGCAACUCUAGGAAGAGGCACAAUCGAAGGGGUUGUGGGAGUAGGCACGGCGGGACCAGACGUCUGCGACCGAUACGGUGCAGAGACUGUUCCGGAAGGAACCGGCCAAGGCAUUUGACGUGGGGGGAGCGGACGAGCCGAAGAUGUAGCUGUGGCCCUACCCCGGGACAAAGUGCGGCUACGACGGAGUCGGUGGUCUCGAGCGGCGGCAGUAGCUGGCACGUACGAAGACGGGCCUGUGGACCGUCACGUCUGCCCGAGUGCAGGAGCUGACGGCCUUACCGGCGCAGAAUUGAUACGAGGAUCUGCCGGGAUCUAAGCUUGAACCUCACGUAUGGCGAGACACGUGUGACUGACUCUCUCCGUACUACUGGAAGGGUGGUAAAGGUUCCAUAUUGGCCGGCCUCCCGUCCAAGACGUAGACCGGCACAGAGUAGAGGUUUCUUGUUCCGCUACUGAACAGGAUGAAAAUACAAGACUAGCUCAGAAGGCUCCUCUGGUCAUUCCAAUGCCACGCUCAUAUAUACAACGUUGUACCAUAGACCACGUGUGUAGUAUGGAACCGGUGACUGGUCGGUAGAGAAGGCGAUACCCUGGGUUUUGAACACGACCAGCUGUCAUUUUAAAUAUAGUGCCAGCGGGGCUCUUUAUAUUACCAGAACCUAAACAGCCAGAGUUCAACGAGAUGAUAAACAGAGGGUGUUCCCCACCUCAUACCUCUAUCUCUGCGGUACAACAGCGCCCGUCUACUACGUAGAUCACAUAUAGAAUAAGUUCACUUCCUCGAAGUCGAAGUGUAGACCGAGGUGUUCCCCUUGUUGACCGACGACCACCUGUGGUAGAAAUACUCACUCUACCAACGAUUAAACUCCUACGUUCUAAUGUGACAACUCCUACUCGUAUAACUACAAGAAGCCUAUGACGUCCAGCCCCUGUUGCGGCUCAAACACAAGAAGGUCUACCCAGCUACGUAUGACAUAGAUCUAUAGUUCCCGUUCUGUAACGCAUUUCACAUACUCUACUUUCUAUUCCUAACCAUAAGCCAAAUAAUAUAAAAAGGAAAAUUCUACCAAACCGGAGGCUAUAAAGGACGUGACUUCGGCUUGGAAGUUCUUAGCGGUAGACUUCUUGUUAUAGUAGGUCGAGUCACUGUUCCUGGUAUUCUAACAGAAAAAGCACCUUGGUUCGGUGCUGACGCAUCAGCUCACGGACGGUUGGACGUUUAGGCUCUGUUUAGGCGGUUUCA